This 396-nucleotide RNase P RNA is filed under the name Kiritimatiellia bacterium. Its description in RNAcentral is "Kiritimatiellae bacterium RNase P RNA component class A". It matches the Rfam family "Bacterial RNase P class A". From Rfam's summary of the family: Ribonuclease P (RNase P) is a ubiquitous endoribonuclease, found in archaea, bacteria and eukarya as well as chloroplasts and mitochondria. Its best characterised activity is the generation of mature 5'-ends of tRNAs by cleaving the 5'-leader elements of precursor-tRNAs. Cellular RNase Ps are ribonucleoproteins. Lineage: Bacteria; Pseudomonadati; Kiritimatiellota; Kiritimatiellia. The record is from RNAcentral.
GCUGUAAGGUGUCCGAUCGCGUGUCAAUCCUUUGGAGUGGCAUGAGGAAAGUCCGGACUCCGUAGGGCAGGGUGUCCCGGCUGGGAACGGUCGGGAGCGGUGCGGGAAAACCGUACUGACGGAAAGUGCCACAGAAAGAAAACCGCCACUCGGAUUUCCGAGUGGUAAGGGUGAAAGGGUGGUGUAAGAGACCACCGUCCGAUGUCGAGAGGCGUUGGGCAAGGCAAACCCCGCCCGGAGCAAGACCAAAUAGGAGGUCUGAGGCGGCCCGUCUCCCACCGCGUAAGCGGGGGACCGCGAGCAUUGCUGGCGGGAGACCUCGGGUUGGUUGCAUAGAUAAAUGAUCGGCCUGCUUCGGCAGGAACAGAAUCCGGCUUACCGCACCUUGCGGCUCCA